UACGAAGGGGGCUAGCGUUGUUCGGAAUUACUGGGCGUAAAGCGCACGUAGGCGGAUUGUUAAGUCGGGGGUGAAAUCCCGGGGCUCAACCCCGGAACUGCCUUCGAUACUGGCGAUCUCGAGUCCGGAAGAGGUUAGUGGAAUUCCCAGUGUAGAGGUGAAAUUCGUAGAUAUUCGCAAGAACACCAGUGGCGAAGGCGGCUCACUGGCCCGGUACUGACGCUGAGGUGCGAAAGCGUGGGGAGCAAACAGG
Molecule: ribosomal RNA, 253 nt
Filed under: uncultured bacterium
Lineage: Bacteria
Description: partial 16S ribosomal RNA
Rfam family: Bacterial small subunit ribosomal RNA
Source: RNAcentral